UACGGAGGGUGCAAGCGUUGUCCGGAAUCACUGGGCGUAAAGGGCGCGUAGGCGGCCCGGUAAGUAGGGGGUGAAAUCCUGCGGCUUAACCGCAGGGCUGCCUUCUAAACUGUCGGGCUCGAGCACGGUAGAGGCAGAUGGAAUUCCCGGUGUAGCGGUGGAAUGCGUGGAGAUCGGGAAGAACAUCAGUGGCGAAGGCGGUCUGCUGGGCCGUUGCUGACGCUGAGGCGCGACAGCGUGGGGAGCAAACAGG
RNAcentral lists this ribosomal RNA (253 nucleotides) under uncultured bacterium. RNAcentral describes it as "partial 16S ribosomal RNA". It matches the Rfam family "Bacterial small subunit ribosomal RNA", at positions 524 to 776 of the family's 1533-position model. The record is from RNAcentral.